UUAGUCUAGAACUUUGUAGCCGGUCCUGCAAGUAAACCUCGAUAGGGAGGCAAGAGAUUGUUGCGAACAUGGCCUGAAAGUGAGACCCAAUGCAAUGAAGCUAGGUCCAAGAGGGGGUUCAGAGUGAACUCAGGGGUGUAGGCUGCGUAAACAUUGGGUCUGAGGCCCAAGCAAAUCCAAGCCAAAACAAUCAGCAUACACGUUCAAGUUCCAUAUUCUUUCAAAUUUCAAACUCAAGAACACCUUGCACAUGAAAUCUCCGUCUCCUCCGCGUCGGGAUUCACCACCGGCGGAGGAGAAUGUCUGAACCUUCGAACCCUUACAUCAGAACAUUGUAUCCUUUCCCUCUAUCACAAUAUCCUAUCAACUUCCCUUGAUUUUUCCUAGAACCCAAAUUGAAUGCAACAAUCUAUAAACCCUAAAAGAAAGAAACAGAAAUUAAACAAUGCAGAGGCUUUGAAAGGGAUCCAAACCUUAGGGGUUUGGUCCCUAUGGUAAAAGGCUACAUCAAGGUUAAGAGAAAGGAGAAAGAGGAAGAUCAAUGCAGAGCCUACCAUUGAGGCGGAGGCUGCCCCAGUUGUUGUUGUACUGAAGAAGUGAAAAUCAGAGAGAAAUCCAGAGAAAACUUCUAAGAGGAAUGUAUAUGUAUGAGAAAACUUGGCAUUUAUAUCAUGAACGCAUGGGCAAUACUUGGUGACUUGGAAAUCAAAUUGAAGAUGAAGAAAGACACAUGGUUUAGGGAUUAAACCUAGGCCGUUGACUUUGGUCAACAGUUUGAUCGAAAAGUCAACAGUUGACCUAAAGUCAACAUAGGUCAAAAUUAAGGUUUCCUUGAUGUAAUUUUGCAUGAACAUUGAAAUUGAUAUUUGAAGUGUAAUUGGAUGAUUUGUAAUGAAAUAGAUCUUUUGAAAUGAAUACGUAACUUUUGCUUCAA
This is a long non-coding RNA of Lathyrus oleraceus (garden pea), 934 nucleotides long. RefSeq lists it as uncharacterized. The record is from RefSeq and is a predicted model, not a curated record. Lineage: Eukaryota; Viridiplantae; Streptophyta; Magnoliopsida; Fabales; Fabaceae. The transcript is spliced from 2 exons.